AUGGCCAUACCAUGAUGACAACACAGGUUCACGUCCAAUGACAGAGGUUAAGCGUCAUCGACGUUGUCAGUACUUGGGAGGAUGACCAUCUGGGAACACCGCGUGCC
Molecule: non-coding RNA, 107 nt
Organism: Trichonephila clavata
Lineage: Eukaryota; Metazoa; Arthropoda; Arachnida; Araneae; Nephilidae
Source: the annotation of a GenBank genome assembly